GUCUGGAAAGAAACUGCGUUCCACAGGCCUUUGUAAGAGAUGUUACCGGGAGGCUGUAAGAGCCCUGUGGAGAGCGAGUUGUUUCUUACCUUCCGAAAGACCUGGAAGAAAGACCAUUUGAGGCUUGUUUCCCUUUGAGGCACUGAUUCAGUUCUUUGUUCCUUCCACCUGUAGGGCAAUGGAGGACAUGGCUCAGAGCAGAAGUUCUAAGAAUGCUAGAUCAGGGCUGGAAACUAACUGCCUUUCAGGCCUUUGUAUGACAGGUGCCCUGCAGGCAUUAAGAGCACUGUGGAAAGCAAUUUCUUUCUCGGCUUGCCAAAGAGAUGGAAGCAAGAUGGUUUGUGGCCGCUCUCCCUUUGGAGAAAAGAGGCAGUUCCUUUUCCCUUCCACCCCUAGGAAAGUGCAUGACACGGCAGAGGAGAAGUUCUAAUUCAGUGAGAUCAGGGCUGGAAAGAAACUGCAUUUCACAGACAUUUGUAAGACAUGUUCCCAGGACGCUGUAAGAGCACUGUGGAGAGCGAGCUGUUUCUUAGCUUCCCAAAGAGCUGGAAGUAAGAUCAUUUGUGGCUUGUCUCCUUUUGAGGCACUCACUCAGUGGUUUGUGCCUUGCACCUCUAGAGCAAUGGAGGACAUGGCUUAGAGCAGAAGCUCUAAGGCGACGAGAUCAGGGCUGGAAACAAACUGCAUUUCAGGCCUUUAUAUGACAGGUUCCUGGUAGUCUGUAAGAGCACUGAGGAAAGCGAGUUCUUUCUCGGCUUGCCAAAGAGCUGGAAGCAAGACGGUUUGGGUCCUGUCUCCCCUUGAGGAGACAAGGCAGGACUUUGUCCCUUGCAGCUCUAGGGCCAUGUAGGACACAGCAGAGCAGAAGUUCUACUACAGCGAGAUCAGGCCUGGGAAGAAACUGCAUUUCACAGCCCUUUGUAAGAGAUGUUCCCGGUAGGCUGUAAGAGCACUGCGGAGAGCGAGUUGUUUCUUAGCUGCCCAGAGAGCUGGAACCGGCACGCUGAGGGACUUGUCCCCCAUUGUGGAAACAAGGCAGGACUUUCUGCCUUGCAGCUCUUGGGCCAUGUAGGACACGGCAGAGCAGAAGUUCUACUUCAGUGAGAUCAGGCCUGGGAAGAAAUUGCGUCUCACAGGCCUUUGUAAGACACGUUCCCGGUAGGCUUUAAGAGCCCUGUGCAGAGCGAGUUGUUUCUUAGACUGCAAAAGAGCUGGAAGCCGGACGCUGUGGGGCCUGUCUGCCCUUGAAGACACAGCAGAGGACUUUGUCCCUUUCAGCUCUGGCCCAUGUAGGACACGGCAGAGCAGAAGUUCUACUUCAGUGAGAUCAGGCCUGGGAAGAAAUUGCGUCUCACAGGCCUUUGUAAGACACGUUCCCGGUAGGCUUUAAGAGCCCUGUGCAGAGCGAGUUGUUUGUUAGACUGCAAAAGAGCUGGAAGCCGGACGCUGUGGGGCCUGUCUGCCCUUGAGGACACAAGACAGGACUUUGUCCCUUUUAGCUCUAGGCCCAUGUAGGACACGGCAGAGCAGAAGUUCUACUUCACCGAGAUCAGGCCUGGGAAGAAACUGCGUUUCACAGGCCUUUGUAGGACAUGUUCCCAGUAGGCUGUAAAACACCAGUGCAGAGCGAGCAGUUUCUUAGCUGCCCAAAGAGAUGGAAGCCUGACGCUGUGGGGCCUCUCUGCCCUUGAGGACACAAGGCUGGACUUUCUCCCUUUGAGGUCUAGGGGCAUGUAGGACACGGCAGAGCUGAACUUCUACUUCAGCGAGAUCAGGCCUGGUAAGAAACUGCGUUUCACAGGCCUUUGUAAGACAUGUUCCUGGUAGGCUUGUAUGCCCGAUGCAGAGCGAGUUGUUUCUUAGUUGCCCAAAAGCUGGAAGGGGGACACUGUGCUGCCGGCCUGCCCCUGAGGAGAGAAGGCAGGAGUUUGUCCCUUUCAGCUCUAGGCCCAUGUAGGACAUGGCAGAGCAGAAGUUCUAAUUCAGCGAGAUCUAGCCUGGGAAGAGACUGCGUUUCAGAUGCCUUUGUAAGACAUGUUCCCUGUAGGCUGUAAAACACCAGUGCAGAGCCAGCUGUUUCUCAGCUGCCCAAAGAGCUGGAAGCCGGACACUCUGCUGCCCGUCUGCCCUUGAGGAGACAAGGCAGGACUUUGUCCCUUGCAGCUCUAUGGCCAUGUAGGACACGGCAGAUCAGAAGUCCUACAUCAGGGAGAGCAGGCCUGGGAAGAAACAGCAUAACACAGGCCUUUGUACGAUAUGUUCCUGGUAGGCUUGUAGGAGCCCUGUGCAGAGCGAGUUGUUUCUUAGCAGCCCAAAGAGCUGUAAUCUGGACGCUGAGGGACUUGUCUCCCCUUGUGGAAACAAAGCAGGACUUUGUGAAUUGCGGCUCUAGGGUCAUGAAGGACACGGCAGAGCAGAAGUCCUACAUCAGGGAGAGCAGGCCUGGGAAGAAACAGCAUAACCCAGGUCUUUGUACGAUAUGUUCCCGGUUGGCUUGUAGGAGCCCUGUGCAGAGCGAGCUGUUUCUUAGCAGCCCAAAGAGCUGGAAUCCGGACGCUGAGGGACUUGUCUCCCCUUGUGGAAACAAAGCAGGACUUUGUGAAUUGCGGCUCUAGGGUCAUAAAGGACACGGCAGAGCAGAAGUUCUACUUCAGCGAGAUCAGGCCUGGGAAGCAACUGCGUUUCACAGGCCUUUGUAAGACAUGUUCCCGGUAGGCUUUAAGAGCCCUGUGCAGAGCGAGUUGUUUCUUAGCCUGCCAAAGAGCUGGAAGCCGGACGCUGUGGGACCAGUCUGCCCUUGAGGACACAAGACAGGACUUUGUCCCUUUCUGCUCUAGGCACAUGCAGGACACGGCAGAGCAGAAGUUCUACUUCAGCGAGAUCAGGUCUGGGAAGAAACUGCGUUUCAGGGGCCUUUGUAAGCCAUGUUCCCGGUAGGCUGUAAAACACCAGUGCAGAGCGAGCUGAUUCUUAGCUGCUCAAAGAGCUGGAAGCCGGACGGUGUGGGACCUGUCUGCCCUUGAAGACACAACAGAGGACUUUGUCCCUUUCAGCUCCAGGCCCAUCUAGGACACGGCAGAGCAGAAGUUCUACCUCACUGAGAUCAGGCCUGGGAAGAAACUGCGUUUCACUUGCCUUUGUAGGACAUCUUCCCGGUAGGCUGUAAAGCACCAGUGCAGAGCGAGCUGUUUCUUAGCUGCACAAAGAGAUGGAAGCUGGACGCUGUGGGGCCUGUCUGCUCUUGAAGACACAACACAGGACUUUGUCCCUUACAGCUCUAGGCCCAUGUAGGACACGGCAGAGCAGAAGUUCUACUUCAGCGAGAUCAGGCCUGUGAAGAAACUGCGUUUCACAGGCCUUUGGAACAUGUUCCCGGUAGGCUGUAAAACACCACUGCAGAGCGAUUUGUUUCUUAGCUGCCCAAAGAGCUGGAAGCCGGACACUCUGCUGCCCGUCUGCCCUUGAGAAGACAAGGCAGGACUUUGUCCCUUGCAGCUCUAUGGCCAUGUAAGACACGGCAGAGCAGAACUCCUACAUCAGGGAGAGCAGGCCUGGGAAGAUACAUCAUAACACAGGGCUUUGUACGAUAUGUUCCCGGUAGGCUUGUAGGAGCCCUGUGCAGAGCGAGUUGUUUCUUAGCAGCCCAAAGACAUGGAAUCUGGACGCUGAGGGACUUGUCUCCCCUUGUGGAAACAAAGCCGGACUUUGCGAAUUGCAGAUCUAGGGUCAUGUAGGACACGGCAGAGCAGAAGUUCUACUUCAGCGAGAUCAGGCCUGGGAAGAAACUGCGUUUCACAGGCCUUUGUAAGACAUGUUCCCGGUAGGCUGUAAAACACCAGUGCAGAGCGAGCUGUUUCUCAGCUGCCCAAAGAGCUGGAAGCCGGACGCUGUGGGGCCUGUCUGCCCUUGAAGACACAGCAGAGGACUUUGUCACUUUCAGCUCUAGGCCCAUGUAGGACACGGCAGAGCAGGAGUUCUACUUCAGCGAGAGCCUGCCUGAGAUGAAACUGCGUUUCAUAGGCCUUUGUAAGACAUGCUCCCGGUAGGCUUGUGAAAGCCCUGUGCAGAGUGAGCUGUUUCUUAGCUUCCCAAAGAGCUGGAAGCCGGACGCUGUGGGACCAGUCUGCCCUUGAGGACACAGACAGGACUUUGUCCCAUCAGCUCUAGGCCCAUGCAGGACACGGCAGAGCAGAAGUUCUACUUCAGCGAGAUCAGGUCUGGGAAGAAACUGCGUUUCACAGGCCUUUGUAAGACAUGUUCCCAGUAGGCUUUAAGAGCCCUGUGCAGAGCGAGUUGUUUCUUAGCCUGCCAAAGAGCUGGAAACCGGACGCUGUGGGACCAGUCUGGCCUUGAGGACACAAGACAGGACUUUGUCCCUUUCAGCUCUAGGCCCAUGCAGGACACGGCAGAGCAGAAGUUCUACCUCACUGAGAUCAGGCCUGGGAAGAAACUGCGUUUCACUUGCCUUUGUAGGACAUCUUCCCGGUAGGCUGUAAAGCACCAGUGCAGAGCGAGCUGUUUCUUAGCUGCACAAAGAGAUGGAAGCUGGACGCUGUGGGGCCUGUCUGCUCUUGAAGACACAACACAGGACUUUGUCCCUUUCAGCUCUAGGCCCACGUAGGACACGGCAGAGCAGAAGUUCUACUUCACCGAGAUCAGGCUGGGAAGAAACUGCGUUUCAGAUGCCUUUGUAAGACAUGUUCCAGGUAGGCUUGUAGGAGCCCGAUGCAGAGCGAGUUGUUUCUUUGUUGCCCAAAAGCUGGAAGGCGGACACUGUGCUGCCGCCCUGCCCCUGAGGAGAGAAGGCGGGAGUUUGUCCCUUUCAGCUCUAGGCCCAUGUAGGACACGGCAGAGGAGAAGUUCUAAUUGAACGAGGUCUGGACUGGGCACAAACUGCGUUUCAGAUGCCUUUGUAAGACAUGUUCCCUGUAGGCUGUAAAACACCAGUGCAGAGCGAGCUGUUUCUCAGCUUCCCAAAGAGCUGGAAGCUGGACGCUGUGGGACCUGUCUGCCCUUGAGGACAAAAGGCAGAACUUUGUCCCUUUCAGCUCUAGGCCCAUGUAGAACACGGCAGAGCAGAAGUUCUACUUCAGCGAGAUCAGGCCUGGGAAGAAACUGCGUUUCACAGGCCUUUGUAAGACAUGUUCCCGGUAGGCUUUAAGAGCGCUGUGCAGAACGAGUUGUUUCUUAGCUGCCCAAAGAGCUGGAAGCUGGACGCUGAGGGACUUGCCUCUCCUUGUGGAAACAAGGCAGGAUUUUGUGAAUUGCAGCUCUAGGGUCAAAUAGGACACGGCAGAGCAGAAGUUCUACUUCAGCGAGAUCAGGCCUGGGAAGAAACUGCGUCUCACAGGCCUUUGUAAGACAUGUUCCCGGUAGGCUUUAAGAGCCCUGUGCAGAGCGAGUUGUUUCUUAGACUGCAAAAGAGCUGGAAGCCUGACGCUUUGGGGCCUCUCUGCCCUUGAGGACACAAGACAGGACUUUGUCCCUUUUAGCUCUAGGCCCAUGUAGGACACGGCAGAGCAGAAGUUCUACUUCAGCGAGAGCAGGCCUGAGAUGAAACUGCGUUUCAUAGGCCUUUGUAAGACAUGCUCCCGGUAGGCUUGUAAAAGCCCUGUGCAGAGUGAGCUGUUUCUUAGCUUCCCAAAGAGCUGGAAGCCGGACGCUGUGGGACCUGUCUGCCCUUGAGGACAAAAGGCAGAACUUUGUCCCUUUCAGCUCUAGGCCCAUGUAGAACACGGCAGAGCAGAAGUUCUACUUCAGCGAGAUCAGGCCUGGGAAGAAACUGCGUCUCACAGGCCUUUGUAAGACAUGUUCCCGGUAGGCUUUAAGAGCCCUGUGCAGAGCGAGUUGUUUCUUAGACUGCCAAAGAGCUGGAAGCCGGACGCUGUGGGACCAGUCUGCCCUUGAGGACACAAGACAGGACUUUGUCCCUUUCAGCUCUAGGCCCAUGCAGGACACGGCAGAGCAGAAGUUCUACUUCAGCGAGAUCAGGUCUGGGAAGAAACUGCGUUUCACAGGCCUUUGUAAGACAUGUUCCCGGUAGGCUGUAAAACAGCAGUGCAGAGCAAGCUGUUUCCCAGCUGCCCAAAGAGCUGGAAGCCGGACGCUGUGGGGCCUCUCUGCCCUUGAGGACAGAAGGCUGGACUUUCUCCCUUUGAGCUCUAGGCCCAUGUAGGACACGGCAGAGCUGAACUUCUGCUUCAGCGAGAUCAGGCCUGGGAAGAAACUGCGUUUCGCAGGCCUUUCUCAACAUGUUCCUGGUAGGCUGUAAAACAGCAGUGCAGAGCAAGCUGUUUCUCAGCUGCCCAAAGAGCUGGAAGCCGGACGCUGUGGGGCCUGUCUGCCCAUGAAGACACAACAGAGGACUUUGUCCCUUUCAUCUCUAGGCCCAUGUAGGACACGGCAGAGCAGAAGUUCUACUUCACCGAGAUUAGGCCUGGCAAGAAACUGCGUUUCACAGGCCUUUGUUGGACAUGUUCCCAGUAGGCUGUAAAACACCAGUGCAGAGCCAGCUGUUUCUUAGCUGCCCAAAGAGCUGGAAGUCGGAC
RNAcentral lists this long non-coding RNA (6548 nucleotides) under Equus caballus (horse). RNAcentral describes it as "lncRNA (ENSECAG00000056869.1)". Lineage: Eukaryota; Metazoa; Chordata; Mammalia; Perissodactyla; Equidae. The record is from RNAcentral.